Molecule: ribosomal RNA, 550 nt
Filed under: uncultured bacterium
Lineage: Bacteria
Description: bacterial SSU rRNA
Rfam family: Bacterial small subunit ribosomal RNA
Source: RNAcentral
UAGGGAAUCUUCGGCAAUGGACGGAAGUCUGACCGAGCAACGCCGCGUGAGUGAAGAAGGUUUCCGGAUCGUAAAGCUCUGUUGUAAGAGAAGAACGAGUGUGAGAGUGGAAAGUUCACACUGUGACGGUAUCUUACCAGAAAGGGACGGCUAACUACGUGCCAGCAGCCGCGGUAAUACGUAGGUCCCGAGCGUUGUCCGGAUUUAUUGGGCGUAAAGCGAGCGCAGGCGGUUAGAUAAGUCUGAAGUUAAAGGCUGUGGCUUAACCAUAGUACGCUUUGGAAACUGUUUAACUUGAGUGCAAGAGGGGAGAGUGGAAUUCCAUGUGUAGCGGUGAAAUGCGUAGAUAUAUGGAGGAACACCGGUGGCGAAAGCGGCUCUCUGGCUUGUAACUGACGCUGAGGCUCGAAAGCGUGGGGAGCAAACAGGAUUAGAUACCCUGGUAGUCCACGCCGUAAACGAUGAGUGCUAGGUGUUAGACCCUUUCCGGGGUUUAGUGCCGCAGCUAACGCAUUAAGCACUCCGCCUGGGGAGUACGACCGCAAGGUUG